AGGACGAACGCUGGCGGCGUGCUUAACACAUGCAAGUCGAGCGAGGCCUCACCUUCGGGUGAGUGUCCUAGCGGCGAACGGGUGAGUAACACGUGGGCAACCUGCCCCUAGCACUGGGAUAACCCCGGGAAACCGGGGCUAAUACCGGAUAUGACCGCGAAAGGCAUCUUUUGCGGUGGAAAAGGUUACUGGCUAGGGAUGGGCCCGCGGCCUAUCAGCUUGUUGGUGGGGUAAUAGCCCACCAAGGCGACGACGGGUA
RNAcentral lists this ribosomal RNA (259 nucleotides) under uncultured bacterium. RNAcentral's name for it is "partial small subunit ribosomal RNA". It matches the Rfam family "Bacterial small subunit ribosomal RNA", at positions 26 to 285 of the family's 1533-position model. The record is from RNAcentral.